Acanthochromis polyacanthus (spiny chromis) is the source of this 1573-nucleotide long non-coding RNA. RefSeq lists it as uncharacterized. The transcript is spliced from 3 exons. NCBI's taxonomy places the organism in Eukaryota, Metazoa, Chordata, Actinopteri, Pomacentridae. The record is from RefSeq and is a predicted model, not a curated record.
GGAGAGGUGUGGAAAAGAUAUAAUGAGGGGAGGAAGAGGACAGAUAAAGGGAAAGGGAGGGGAGGAGACAGCAGAGACACUUUCAGUCUGUCUUCACAGAUUAGCACCACCAGUGAGUCUAAUGUGGAGUGAAGAAGUGGUAAGAAACGAGGGAGGAGAGGAGAGACGGCGGACGUGAUGGACAUUGGCUGAAGAGUCUGGCCUUUCGGUAAUUGUGCUGGCCGCGGAGCAGAGGUCAGAGACAGAAGCUCCAGCCUGGAGACUGGGUCCUGAUCAGAGUCCUGAGGGGGAAGAAUUGGAGGUCGCCUCGGUGGGAAGGGCCGUAUCAAAUACUGCUGACGACACCCACGGCAGUAAAAAUUGCUGAACGGCCCUCGUGGAUCCACCAAUCGCACUGUAAGCUGAUGCAACUGGAAGCAGAGCCAGAUCAACCGACGGGGUAGCGGUGGAAGUCCGAUACAAAGGGGUCAGUAGCACAAUAGGGUGCUGACGUCUCAAUCCGGUGAAGAACCCAACUGAUCCGCGCCCAACUCUAGAAUGGCUCUCUGGCGACUCCUGCUAGUCGCAGGGGUGACUUUGUCACUUCUGUGGCUUUCCUUCUUCUUCCUUCCCCCUACAGGAACUCACAAGACUAAAAGAACCCAUGAACACUCCAUGGCAGCGACUUGGGAACAGAACCUCUGGUAUAAAGCUAUGAAUUUUACAGCACGCCAGAAUAAAGUUACUAACGCACUAAUUGACAUAACUGAUCAGCUGGAAAACGAUCCUGAACUUGAGGCUAUCAAGCAAAUGACACUCCAGAACAGAAUAGCUUUAGACCUUCUUUUAGCAGCACAAGGAGGAGUUUGUGAAGUUGUUAAUGACUAUUGUUAUACAUACAUCCCUGAUCACAAAGGCAAUUACACCCUAAUCAGACAGAAAUUGGAUGAGAUUAAAAUAGACAUUUUAAGCAACCAAGACAAAGGUCUUCUUUCAGGCUGGGAUUUUACCUCUUGGUUUACAUCUGGUGGUAUUUUUCAGACUAUUAAAAGAUUUGUAAUUAUAAGUGUAUGUAUUUUGUUACUAUUUUGCAUUUUUGCUACCUGCAUUUUACCAUGUUUGAGAUCCAUAAUUUCUAAAAUGAUAACCACUUCUGUUGUUGCGUAUGCUGCACUCAAAAUGGAAGAACCACAAUAUGACUAAUGAUGAGAAUGAUGAUGUUGAAGUGUAGUUUAAUGACGUGACAGCAGAAAAUGUUUUACAAGAUGUUGUUAACUGAUCUUCACAUUUUUUGAUCAUGAUAAACAGGAGGGAAUGUUAGAGUUGAAUUUGUAAAUACAUUUAUCAUAAUCGAGCCUUAGAGCAUUAACUGUAUGUGCAUAGUAUUUUACAUGACUAUUUUUAUAGAAUACCACUCACUCACGUCUAUCUGCACACAUCUCUCCCUCUCUCUCUCUCCCUAGUCUCCACAUCCCAGUAUAUUUCCACUCUUUCAGCUUAGCACACCCCCUUUGUGUGACUCGAGCUAUUUCUUAUCUUAUGCUAUGUUUUCAUUCCUGCUUGUGUAUAAAAUAAACUUCGUAUGGGAGCAGUC